UGUGGUACAGAUUAUUUAUGAUGAAUCAGCCAAAGACUGAUCAGAAAGUAUUGUUGGCAAAGGAAUGAACAAGGAGCUGAUGUAAGCAGUGUGCUCGUGAUCACAAAUAUGAUCACACCGAGGUACAUAAACUAAUCUUUCCCCAGGGACUGCUCUAACAUAAUGUUAGAGUCCAUGUUUUCCAGUUCCCUGGUGUGGGGGAAGGUAGGAAUGGAACGUUUUCCUGAAUGUGUCUACAUCCCUCUAUAACCAUCCAUACCUGGAGCCAGAGCCCUGAAGGGAGCUGUGCUGAGUCACCCAGCUGAAACCUCCUUUUCUUUUGGCAUUUAAAAAGCUAAGUGGGCUUCCUAAAGGAGGCACGUCUGGUCUCACGCCGUGCUCCAGCAUCAAUGGCCAGAGAGCUCUGUUCUUUGAGGCAAAGCAUCUGUGCUCACCACAUUGCCUUUCACAGUCUUCUUGUGGAAUCAGAAGAGAAAAUGAUCGCAACAUCGGGAUUUCCCAUAGGAUGGAAACUCUGGUCCAUCCAUAUUAU
RNAcentral lists this long non-coding RNA (532 nucleotides) under Coturnix japonica (Japanese quail). RNAcentral describes it as "lncRNA (ENSCJPG00005020053.1)". Lineage: Eukaryota; Metazoa; Chordata; Aves; Galliformes; Phasianidae. The record is from RNAcentral.